This is a non-coding RNA of Acanthosepion pharaonis, 109 nucleotides long. The record is from the annotation of a GenBank genome assembly. NCBI's taxonomy places the organism in Eukaryota, Metazoa, Mollusca, Cephalopoda, Sepiida, Sepiidae.
GGCUACAUCAUGUUCAAACACUGGUUCCUUUAAGAUCACCGAAGUUAAGCAACGUCGAGCCUGGCCAAUACCUAGAUAAGUGACCGCUGAGGAAUACCAAGUGCCGUAA